GACGAACGCUGGCGGCGUGCUUAAUACAUGCAAGUAGAACGCUGAAGAGAGGAGCUUGCUCUUCUUGGAUGAGUUGCGAACGGGUGAGUAACGCGUAGGUAACCUGCCUGGUAGCGGGGGGUAACUAUUGGAAACGAUAGCUAAUACCGCAUAAAAUUGAUUAUUGCAUGAUAAUUAAUUGAAAGAUGCAACUGCAUCACUACCAGAUGGACCUGCGUUGUAUUAGCUAGUUGGUGAGGUAACGGCUCACCAAGGCGACGAUACAUAGCCGACCUGAGAGGGUGAUCGGCCACACUGGGACUGAGACACGGCCCAGACUCCUACGGGAGGCAGCAGUAGGGAAUCUUCGGCAAUGGGGGGAACCCUGACCGAGCAACGCCGCGUGAGUGAAGAAGGUUUUCGGAUCGUAAAGCUCUGUUGUAAGAGAAGAACGGGUGUGAGAGUGGAAAGUUCACACUGUGACGGUAUCUUACCAGAAAGGGACGGCUAACUACGUG
This 497-nucleotide ribosomal RNA is filed under the name uncultured bacterium. RNAcentral describes it as "partial 16S ribosomal RNA". It matches the Rfam family "Bacterial small subunit ribosomal RNA", at positions 28 to 507 of the family's 1533-position model. The record is from RNAcentral.